Molecule: ribosomal RNA, 253 nt
Filed under: uncultured bacterium
Lineage: Bacteria
Description: partial 16S ribosomal RNA
Rfam family: Bacterial small subunit ribosomal RNA
Source: RNAcentral
UACAGGGGGUGCAAACGUUGCUCGGAAUUAUUGGGCGUAAAGCGCGCGUAGGCGGCCGCUUAAGUCGGAUGUGAAAGCCCCUGGCUCAACUGGGGAAGUGCACCCGAAACUGAGUGGCUUGAGUACUAAAGAGGGUCGCGGAAUUCCCGGUGUAGAGGUGAAAUUCGUAGAUAUCGUGAGGAACACCAGAGGCGAAGGCGGCUACCUGGACAAUUGCUGACGCUCAGGCACGAAAGCGUGGGGAGCAAAAGGG